This 74-nucleotide transfer RNA is filed under the name Candidatus Moraniibacteriota bacterium. RNAcentral's name for it is "tRNA-Met". It matches the Rfam family "tRNA". Rfam says of the family: Transfer RNA (tRNA) molecules are approximately 80 nucleotides in length. Their secondary structure includes four short double-helical elements and three loops (D, anti-codon, and T loops). Lineage: Bacteria; Candidatus Moraniibacteriota. The record is from RNAcentral.
GCCAGGGUAGCUCAGCUGGUCAGAGCGUGGGACUCAUAAGCCCAAGGCCGUGGGUUCAAUCCCCACCCCUGGUA